UGGGGAAUAUUGCACAAUGGGCGAAAGCCUGAUGCAGCGACGCCGCGUGAGGGAUGACGGCCUUCGGGUUGUAAACCUCUUUCAGCAGGGAAGAAGCGCGAGUGACGGUACCUGCAGAAGAAGCACCGGCUAACUACGUGCCAGCAGCCGCGGUAAUACGUAGGGUGCGAGCGUUGUCCGGAAUUAUUGGGCGUAAAGAGCUCGUAGGCGGUCUGUCGCGUCGGAUGUGAAAGCCCGGGGCUUAACUCCGGGUCUGCAUUCGAUACGGGCAGACUAGAGUGUGGUAGGGGAGAUCGGAAUUCCUGGUGUAGCGGUGAAAUGCGCAGAUAUCAGGAGGAACACCGGUGGCGAAGGCGGAUCUCUGGGCCAUUACUGACGCUGAGGAGCGAAAGCGUGGGGAGCGAACAGGAUUAGAUACCCUGGUAGUCCACGCCGUAAACGUUGGGAACUAGGUGUUGGCGACAUUCCACGUCGUCGGUGCCGCAGCUAACGCAUUAAGUUCCCCGCCUGGGGAGUACGGCCGCAAGGCUAA
Molecule: ribosomal RNA, 532 nt
Filed under: uncultured Streptomycetaceae bacterium
Lineage: Bacteria; Bacillati; Actinomycetota; Actinomycetes; Kitasatosporales; Streptomycetaceae
Description: bacterial SSU rRNA
Rfam family: Bacterial small subunit ribosomal RNA
Source: RNAcentral